This is a small nucleolar RNA of Rattus norvegicus (Norway rat), 132 nucleotides long. Ensembl annotates it as small nucleolar RNA SNORA17. NCBI's taxonomy places the organism in Eukaryota, Metazoa, Chordata, Mammalia, Rodentia, Muridae. The record is from Ensembl.
ACUGACCCUAGAGGCAUUACAGGUGUGGCUUCUGUGUGUCACAUGUGUCAGUAGGUGGCAGAGAAGAGAGAGGCUAUGUCUACCCUCAGUGUUCUGACCUAUGAAUGUCUGAUUGGUUAGCAGCCUAACAUA